UUWAGACGAGAAGACCCUGUGGAACUUCAAGUAUUAACCAACAUACUUCCUCAUCUCUACCCUAAGGGAAAAAACAAGCCGAAGUAUCCCCUGGUUAUUGCUUUUGGUUGGGGCGACCUCGGAGCAAAACAAAACCUCCGAAAAGAGUAUAUUCUCAUACCAAGAAUUACACCUCAAAGUGCCUUAAAGCAAAACGAUCCAAUAUAUUUGAUCAACGAACAAAGCUACCCCAGGGAUAACAGCGCAAUCCCUUCUUAAAGUCCAUAUUGACGAUGGGGGUUUACGACCUCGAUGUUGGAUCAGGACAUCCUAAUGGUGCAGCCGCUAUWAAGG
Molecule: ribosomal RNA, 333 nt
Filed under: Pelomedusa subrufa
Lineage: Eukaryota; Metazoa; Chordata; Testudines; Pelomedusidae
Description: partial 16S ribosomal RNA
Rfam family: Bacterial large subunit ribosomal RNA
Source: RNAcentral